GCCGGGCAUGGUGGCUCAUGCCUGUAAUCCCAACUACUCAGGAGGCUGAGACACAAGAAUCGCUUGAACUCAGGAGGCGGAGCUUGCAGUGAGCUACGAUUGUGCCACUGCACUCCAGCCUGAGCAACAGAGUGAGACUCUGUCUCAA
Macaca fascicularis (crab-eating macaque) is the source of this 148-nucleotide unclassified non-coding RNA. It matches the Rfam family "Metazoan signal recognition particle RNA". Rfam says of the family: The signal recognition particle (SRP) is a universally conserved ribonucleoprotein. The record is from Ensembl. Lineage: Eukaryota; Metazoa; Chordata; Mammalia; Primates; Cercopithecidae.